Molecule: long non-coding RNA, 4796 nt
Filed under: Equus caballus (horse)
Lineage: Eukaryota; Metazoa; Chordata; Mammalia; Perissodactyla; Equidae
Description: lncRNA (ENSECAG00000058833.1)
Source: RNAcentral
AGUGAAUUUCCACCUUCAGGUUCUUUUUUUAAUUUUAUUUUAUUUAUUUAUUUUUUUUUCUUUUUUCUCCCCAAAGCCCCCCAGUACAUAGUUGUAUAUUGUUCGUUGUGGGUCCUUCUAGUUGUGGUAUGUGGGAUGCCGCCUCAGCGUGGCUUGAUGAGCAGUGCCACAUUCGCGCCCAGGAUUCGAACCAACGAAACACUGGGCUGCCUGCAGUGGAGCGCGUGAACUUAACCACUCAGCCACGGGGCCGGCCCCCACCUUCAGGUUCUUAAACCCACUUUGGGGGCCCCUCUUCCCCUUGGUCAAUUUUCAGUCUUCCUUCUAGAAGGAGCUGAAAUGUCAGGUCCACUGUGAAGCCUUUCUAUUACCCUUUGCUCGUCCCCCUAUUUGCUGUAUUACAAUUUGUAUCUGUUUUCUGUGGUUGCUGCGACAAAUCACCACAAACCGGAUGGCUUAAAACAACACAAAUUUAUUCUCUCGUGGUUCUGGAGGCCGGAAGGUGAAAUCAGCAUCACUGGGCUGAAAUCAAGGUGUUCGCAGGGCCACACUCCUUCCAGAGGCUCUGGGGGGAGAUCCGUUCCUUGCCUCUUCCGGCUCUGGUGGCUGUCCCCAUUCCUGGGUUUGUGGCCGCACCACUCGAGUUUCUGCCUCGGUGAUACCAGGGCAGCCUCCUCAUCUGCCUGCGUUAAAUCUCUUCUCCCUCUCGCUUGUAAGGACACCUGUGACUGCACUGAGGGCCCACCUGGACAAUCCAGGCUAACCACGCCAUCUCAAGAGCCUCAAUUACCACAUCUGCAAGACCUUUGCAAACCACAGAAGGCAAGAUUUACAGCUGCCAGGAAUUAGGAACGAACGUUUUGGGAUGCCUUUAUAAGUGCUCGCAUGUAUGUUGGCCUCUUCACCUUUGUAUGACAAGGGUCCAUCAUGGAAUAAGCACAUAAUGUGUAAGCAAUAGAUGACAUGCAUACAGAGGUAGAGCGGCACGAGGUAUAGGGCCAUUGUUCACGCUCAUCUGCAUUCCUUCUUGGCUAAGGCUUUAUUUCCCCAGGCCAGAGCUAUUUCUUUCAUGUGCUAAUCUCUGGUUGGAAGGAUAUUUACUCAUAAAUCAGACUGACGUCUAGGUUAGAGAAAUUAGGCAAAGGGGGCCUUCAUCCUUAUAUUGCUUCUUCUGGGCUACAGUGAGGUGAAUUAACCAAAAAUCUCCAUUCAGACUCCAUCCCUUCCCAGCCCUGGGGCGGAAGGGAGUGGAAAAGGUGGAGGGGCUCUGGCAGCUGGAAGGCGACUUUCACGGAAUGUGAGAAUGUGGAGUGGCAGAGUGACAAGCAUGAGCUGCAUUAAGAGUACUGUCAUCGGUUUGCCCCAGCUGGUUUGUUGCCAUUCCUUGGCCGUUUAUUUUAAACACGGUUUUCUCCGUAAUUUAAGCUCCUAACUUCACGGCUGUUGCUUAACUUACCAUUUCCCCAGUUUGAGUCACCUGAGUUCACACAGGCAUUUUUCUGAAAUGAGGCUGUUUCUUUUCCAGUGUUCUUAAAUCCCAGUCACCUUUUCCCCCGAGAAUAAAUCUGUUUCAGCCGCGGCUCACCUGGAAAGACAACUCGGCAGCUAGGCUGUUAUUUCUCUUGGCUGUUGGAAAUCUUGAUGAAAGAGGAAAAAAUUAAUUGCAAUAAAAAAAGCAAAGAAGUAGGUUAUUUUGCACAAUUAAUCCUUGAAACAGUCAAUUGUUUACUGUAUUAUAAUUGUUUGUUUACUUCUAUGUCAGUCUUUCCAUCUUUGUGCUGGUUAGAUUCCCCCAGAAAUCAGGAAGUUAAAAAACUACAGAGCCCCCCCCAAUUUAUCCAAGAUUUGCCUAAGUAGGCAUGUGUCCAGAAACUUCUAAGGUUUGAGAAAAUUCUUUCGCUAACACAUAACAUCCAUCUGUAAUAAAACAUAAUUGUCAGAGUCUAUUUAGGUAGCAUGACUGGCAUAAAGCUCCUCUAACAUAAUAGUCUGGCACCUGUCAGAGGCUUUUUUGAACAGAGUAGACUCCUGAAGCCUGUCCAAUAAGACCUACUUACCUCCUAAAAUCAUCUCGAACAACACUCUCCCUCUAGCUCUGCUCCAGCUACUCUGUCUUUCAUAUGGGUCAUGCUUCUUCCUAUCAAUGGAACUUUGCACAUGCUGUUCCCUUUGCUUAGAAUGCUUGUGCCUCCUUGUCUUCUCUUGAUUAAGUGCUAGUCAUCCUUUAGAACUUAGUUCAGGCAUUAUUCUCACUGAAAAACUUUCUCAGACUAGGUCAAACCCCCAAAGCACUGCCUCAGCACUCAGACCACUGACGGUUUGUAUUUGUCUGUGUGAUUAUCUGAUAAAUGUCCACUUCAUCUGCCAGACUGCACAGAGCUCUGUGAGGGCAGGGAAUAAGUCAGUCUUUGCUACCAUGACAUCAGCAGCCCUUACGACUGUUGCCGGAACACAGUCAGCAUGUAACAAAUAUCUAAAUGUUGACUAUGUCGUGGAAUCUCCUGCUAGCUCUGCCAAUGGGUUAUUAGGCAAGUUACUUAACUCUACAGGGCCUCGCUCUCCUCUUUGGUAAAGAAAAUGCUUCUUUCAUUCCCCAAAUCCUAGGAUAUUUAUGCUUCCUGUCUUGAGUCUACAAGAUUGAUCAGGCUAAAGCUAGAAAGUUAGAAAGUCAACAUUAUCUGUUAUCGGCCUGCCGUGUAUCUCCUCACAUGGAAAAAUCAGAUGCCAAGCAAGAAAUUGGAAUUACCUUCAACAUCUUUGCCUCUUUCCCUCAUGCCACUGCCUUGAUUCCAGCUUUCUUCACCUCUCACUUAAAAUACUGCAGAUGCUCCCUUAACUGGUGGUCCUGGGUCCAGUGCUCUCCCCUUCCAGUCUAUCUGCAAAGCUGCCAAUAGAACUCGGUCUAAAACACUGGACCGAUCAAUUGUGGCACCCCUCUGCUUGAACGCUGUCAGUGACUCCCACAUCACCUCUGGGACAAAAUUCAUUUGUUGAGAAGAUGCCCUUCCACUGUUCCUGCCUCACCUCCUGACCGCUCCUUGAGAGCUCACGCUCCACUCAGAACGGCUCCAGGGGGCCCAACUACACAUGGUUCUUUCAAGUCCCUCUGUCUUUGCAUGCAGUUCCUUCCGUCUGGAAAACUGUUCUCCUUUCCUGCACUUGCCAGGUCCCGUCCAUCCUUAGGCUCAGCUCAAACGUUACUUGAAUGUGGCACCUGCCUUGAUCAAACUCUCAUUACCCAGGCUGAGCUUGUCACACACUGCCUGUGUUCCCACAGAACACUUUGUACAAGCCACUGUGAUGACACUUAUCUCAAUGAGCUGUAGUUGUCUGCAGAGGGACAUUUGGGUUAAGAGCAUGGGCCUCAAAUUCAGACUGAGUUGAGGUUGAAACCAAAUUCUGCAACUUACUGUGUGGCCUUGGAAAUCCUUCUUUCUGAGUUCUACUUUCCUGAUUUUGGAAAAUGGGAGACAGAACACCUGACUCCCUGGGCUGUUAUAAUCAUGGAUUAAAGGAGAUAAUGCACUUGGCACAAAGCCUGACCCAUAAUACUCAAUAACUAACGGUAAUGAUCAUUGGCUUGUCAACGUGUCAAAUGCAAAGAUCCAGGCUCACGUCUUGCCCAUCUUUCUAUCCCAGUGACUGGCACACAGUGGGUGCUCAGUGAAUGCUUCUUAAAAUGCAUAAACGAAAUAGUAUCCAUAAUGCAUUUUUCUUUACAGGAAGGCUAGAGGUUUAUUCAUUUUAGGAAUUUUAUUCAAGUGUCAAAAACUCUACAGAUCUUAUGACAUACUCCAAAUCACAUUCAGCUUUCCCUUUGCUAAACUAGCCUGCACUUAGACGUGUGACAGUUUCAGAUCAAACCUAGCUUUAAGUAUUAGCGUUUUCUGCUCAAUUCUCUCUUCACACUGAGUCUUCACUGUAUUCACAUCAGUUUCAGCCUUUACACAAUCCUCUGUGGAACCCAGAUUAUAUCCUUCUUCCUCAUGUGAGCAACACCCACAGCAUGCAUGUGUAUGGGACUUGGGUGCCAAACACUGUUCUAUGAGCUUUACGUGUUUUAAAUCCGCACCAUGACUCAUCAUAACCUAACUGACUUUUCUGAGAUGACAGUGAGCAAACCGAUUCAAACCACUACAAGUUCUAGCCUACUGUUCUGGCCACAGCCUGGCGUUGCCCGCAAGAAGCCUAAGUUCCUUGAAGGCAGUUGCCUCCAGUUUCCUCUCCAUGGUCCCUGUCCGUCCGCAGAGACACCCAGGGAGCUCGGCUCACUGUGUACUUCCUCUUCCGUCCACGUAAUUAACUUCUACCAGGGGCCAGAGGGAAGACUGUGUUCACACCGAGUACUCGAGAGACGCCCCAGGUUUAAAGCCUCACAAGGUUUAAAAACUUUGAACCUGGGGAAAGCACCCUUUAACUGUCAGCACAUCAAACUUUCCCACCGUGGUUUCUCUUCGGUGUUCCCCAUGACUCCUCCUAGGGUGUCCCAUCAGCACAUAAGAGCAGAAGGUUGAGAAGCAUCUUUGCCCCCUUCAAUUUACCCCGGGCGGGUCAUCCUAUGGGCCACGCCGACUGUCCAGGGGAGGCCUUGGAUACCUGUCCCCCUAGGCGACCCCAUCCCGCCCACGGGUGACGGGACGGCGUCCGGCUCUCCGUAGAGACGCCGCGGAGGCGCAGACGCCGGCUGCCCUCCUUCCAGGAGCCGCCAGGGCUGCAGCUUUGUCGCGACCACACCAGAAACGGCCCGGGGCGCGUGCGGAGCGGCCACCGAGGGUCCCGCGCGCCGGGCUGGGCGG